This 203-nucleotide long non-coding RNA is filed under the name Elaeis guineensis (African oil palm). RNAcentral describes it as "long non-coding RNA (EGUI_LNC039900)". Lineage: Eukaryota; Viridiplantae; Streptophyta; Magnoliopsida; Arecales; Arecaceae. The record is from RNAcentral.
UGUAACCAGUCGAAAAUGAUCAACGUCAGGAAUGCACCUGCAUCUCUACAACGAUGGAAGACCUAUAUACUUAAUAUUUAGUGAGAAGAUUUAGGUUUAGAUCUUUUCUAAAUCAACAGAUCUGACAUCUGACUGAUCAAAUUCAGGUUAGCACAUCAACAUGUCUAAUCAGCCUAGUCGGCAUGGGUGAACUCGAGUCAACA